RNAcentral lists this ribosomal RNA (228 nucleotides) under uncultured bacterium. RNAcentral's name for it is "partial 16S ribosomal RNA". It matches the Rfam family "Bacterial small subunit ribosomal RNA", at positions 568 to 796 of the family's 1533-position model. The record is from RNAcentral.
UACGUAGGUGGUUUUAUAAGUCAGGUGUAAAAGGCAAUAGCUCAACUAUUGUAAGCAUUUGAAACUGUAAAACUUGAGUACAGGAGAGGUAAGUGGAAUUCCUAGUGUAGCGGUGAAAUGCGUAGAUAUUAGGAGGAACACCAGUGGCGAAGGCGACUUACUGGACUGUAACUGACACUGAGGUACGAAAGCGUGGGGAGCAAACAGGAUUAGAUACCCUGGUAGUCC